GAGGGUAUAGCUCCGUGGUAGAGUGCAUGCUUAUCAUGCACGAGGUCCUGGGUUCAAUCCUCAGUCCUUCCA
This 72-nucleotide transfer RNA is filed under the name Camelus bactrianus (Bactrian camel). It matches the Rfam family "tRNA". From Rfam's summary of the family: Transfer RNA (tRNA) molecules are approximately 80 nucleotides in length. Their secondary structure includes four short double-helical elements and three loops (D, anti-codon, and T loops). Further hydrogen bonds mediate the characteristic L-shaped molecular structure. tRNAs have two regions of fundamental functional importance: the anti-codon, which is responsible for specific mRNA codon recognition, and the 3' end, to which the tRNAs corresponding amino acid is attached (by aminoacyl-tRNA synthetases). tRNAs cope with the degeneracy of the genetic code in two manners: having more than one tRNA (with a specific anti-codon) for a particular amino acid; and 'wobble' base-pairing, i.e. permitting non-standard base-pairing at the 3rd anti-codon position. Lineage: Eukaryota; Metazoa; Chordata; Mammalia; Artiodactyla; Camelidae. RNAcentral also lists the same sequence under 1 other name. The record is from Rfam by way of RNAcentral.